GAUGAACGCUGGCGGCGUGCCUAAUACAUGCAAGUCGAACGCAUAGCGAAAGGUGCUUGCACCUUUCAAGUGAGUGGCGAACGGGUGAGUAACACGUGGACAACCUGCCUCAAGGCUGGGGAUAACAUUUGGAAACAGAUGCUAAUACCGAAUAAAACUUAGUGUCGCAUGACACAAAGUUAAAAGGCGCUUCGGCGUCACCUAGAGAUGGAUCCGCGGUGCAUUAGUUAGUUGGUGGGGUAAAGGCCUACCAAGACAAUGAUGCAUAGCCGAGUUGAGAGACUGAUUGGCCACAUUGGGACUGAGACACGGCCCAAACUCCUACGGGAGGCUGCAGUAGGGAAUCUUCCACAAUGGGCGAAAGCCUGAUGGAGCAACGCCGCGUGUGUGAUGAAGGCUUUCGGGUCGUAAAGCACUGUUGUAUGGGAAGAACAGCUAGAAUAGGAAAUGAUUUUAGUUUGACGGUACCAUACCAGAAAGGGACGGCUAAAUACGUG
This 497-nucleotide ribosomal RNA is filed under the name uncultured bacterium. Its description in RNAcentral is "partial 16S ribosomal RNA". It matches the Rfam family "Bacterial small subunit ribosomal RNA", at positions 28 to 507 of the family's 1533-position model. The record is from RNAcentral.